This 253-nucleotide ribosomal RNA is filed under the name uncultured bacterium. Its description in RNAcentral is "partial 16S ribosomal RNA". It matches the Rfam family "Bacterial small subunit ribosomal RNA", at positions 524 to 776 of the family's 1533-position model. The record is from RNAcentral.
UACGAAGGGUGCAAGCGUUAUUCGGAAUUAUUGGGCGUAAAGCGCGCGCAGGCGGAUUGAUAAGUCAGGUGUGAAAUCUCGAGGCUCAACCUCGAAACUGCGCCUGAAACUAUUAGUCUAGAGUGUUGGAGGGGGUAGGGGAAUUUCACGUGUAGGGGUAAAAUCCGUAGAGAUGUGAAGGAACACCGGGAGGCGAAGGCGCCUACCUGGACACUACUGACGCUGAGGCGCGAAAGCGUGGGGAGCAAACAGG